This 359-nucleotide transfer-messenger RNA is filed under the name Parvibaculum sp. It matches the Rfam family "Alphaproteobacteria transfer-messenger RNA". Rfam says of the family: Bacterial tmRNA, also known as 10Sa RNA or SsrA, is named for its dual tRNA and mRNA-like properties. The record is from RNAcentral. Lineage: Bacteria; Pseudomonadati; Pseudomonadota; Alphaproteobacteria; Hyphomicrobiales; Parvibaculaceae.
ACACUUCAAAUAAGGAAAUUUGGCCCUAUAUUAAGGGUGCCGGCGGAUUUCCGUCCGGCUAUGGCGAUAAACGGACUGUGCAAUAAGCCAUUCGGACCCGGGGGCAGUACCCGGCGCCUCCACCAUUUUUCCCCUGUCGCGGCAGGGACCUUGGGGGCGAACCAGGAUCGACGAGGGUGUAAAGACAGUCUUUUUGCCCGGCAUGGUACCCACCGUUAUCGGGCCGUUUUAUAGUUGCCAACGACAACUAUGCUGAGGCACGUCUCGCUGCGUAAGCAGUGCGACAACCUCGAUCUAAGCCCUUGCCCUUAGCCGGGUAAGGCGGGGUUCGGGGGCACCUGGCAACAGAAGCCCCCACU